This 566-nucleotide long non-coding RNA is filed under the name Phoenix dactylifera (date palm). RNAcentral describes it as "long non-coding RNA (PDAC_LNC013994)". The record is from RNAcentral. Lineage: Eukaryota; Viridiplantae; Streptophyta; Magnoliopsida; Arecales; Arecaceae.
AAAAUUAUUCCUUAGUAUCCCAAUAUGUUAUAUUAGGUAUCCUUAAAUUGCAUGAACAAUAAUCUGCCCUAUUUCAGCAUUGCUAGAAGGUGAUUCUGGAUCUCACAUCUCCGUUAAAAGAAAAGGAUGUAUACUUUUGUUGUAAGAUCUCUAUUUAAAAAUCUUCUUCUUUUGUACUCUUUCCACUAGACGAUGAUACGUGGAAUUAUCAUCCAUAACUUUCACCUUCCUCAUGAAACAAUUUAAACUUGCUUCUUAGUGAUAAACGAAAGCAUUUAAUAAUUGCCCGUCUAUUAGAGAUGAAAUAGUUUACUUCAAAUCUUAGAAGCAGGGUCACUAAGUACAAACCCCUGAAACAUCAUGUGCUAUUGGGCCUGUUCCCAUAUCAACUCUAUUGUUGAUUCCGCUCGCAUUUCCUAAUGACCCCAUGUCAUCAUCAUUUUUUUUUUUGUCAAAACUUCAACUAAUAUUCGUUUAAUUGAUUUAUCACAGGAUCACAAACUACUGCACUUUAUCCAUAGUAGAACAUUUGAGCCUAAAAUAUUCUUCAACAUUAAAAAUUAUUC